GUCUACAGCCAUGCUACCCUGAACAAGCCCAAUCCCGUCUGAUCUCAGAAGCUAAGCAGGGUUGGGCCUGGUUUGUACUUGGAUGGGAGACCACCUAGGAAGACCAGGUACUAUAGACG
RNAcentral lists this ribosomal RNA (119 nucleotides) under Pteropus alecto (black flying fox). Lineage: Eukaryota; Metazoa; Chordata; Mammalia; Chiroptera; Pteropodidae. The record is from RNAcentral.